GUCGAUGAGGUUGUCAUCCUGGGCGGCUGCGAGAAGAUCGCCCAGCAUCAGCGCUCCGAUGGUUCGGGCACCAGGCCGUAGCACAAAUGACAGACUUCCAAAUAUCGCAGCAUCUCCCAUCGUUUGGNNNNNNNNNNNNCUUAGACUAGAGAUCGUCUGGUCCAUUUAUGCCGGUGCGAGCGAGAUCGCGAAGCAAUUUUCUGACAAAUAUGAUGUUCAUCCGCUGAAGGUGAUGAUUGU
This 240-nucleotide unclassified non-coding RNA is filed under the name Hevea brasiliensis (rubber tree). The record is from RNAcentral. Lineage: Eukaryota; Viridiplantae; Streptophyta; Magnoliopsida; Malpighiales; Euphorbiaceae.